UACGUAGGGUGCAAGCGUUGUCCGGAAUUAUUGGGCGUAAAGCGUCCGCAGGUGGCACUUCAAGUCUGCUGUCAAAGACCGGGGCUUAACCCUGGAAAGGCAGUGGAAACUGAAGCGCUAGAGUGUAGCAGGGGUAGAGGGAAUUCCCGGUGUAGCGGUGAAAUGCGUAGAGAUCGGGAAGAACAUCGGUGGCGAAAGCGCUCUACUGGGCCAUAACUGACACUCAGGGACGAAAGCUAGGGGAGCGAAUGGG
RNAcentral lists this ribosomal RNA (253 nucleotides) under uncultured bacterium. Its description in RNAcentral is "partial 16S ribosomal RNA". It matches the Rfam family "Bacterial small subunit ribosomal RNA", at positions 524 to 776 of the family's 1533-position model. The record is from RNAcentral.